This 459-nucleotide ribosomal RNA is filed under the name uncultured bacterium. RNAcentral describes it as "partial 16S ribosomal RNA". It matches the Rfam family "Bacterial small subunit ribosomal RNA", at positions 338 to 795 of the family's 1533-position model. The record is from RNAcentral.
CCUACGGGUGGCAGCAGUGAGGAAUAUUGGUCAAUGGACGGAAGUCUGAACCAGCCAAGCCGCGUGAGGGAGGAAGGCGCAGAGCGUCGCAGACCUCUUUUGCCGGGGGACAAAAGGCCGGACUCGUCCGGUCCUGAGGGUACCCGGAGAAAAAGCAUCGGCUAACUCCGUGCCAGCAGCCGCGGUAAUACGGAGGAUGCGAGCGUUAUCCGGAUUCAUUGGGUUUAAAGGGUGCGUAGGCGGGCAUUUAAGCCGGCGGUCAAAUGUCGGGGCUCAACCCCGGCCUGCCGUCGGAACUGGGUGCCUUGAGUGGGCGAGAAGUAUGCGGAAUGCGUGGUGUAGCGGUGAAAUGCAUAGAUAUCACGCAGAACCCCGAUUGCGAAGGCAGCAUACCGGCGCCCUACUGACGCUGAGGCACGAAAGUGCGGGUAUCGAACAGGAUUAGAUACCCUUGUAGUC